RNAcentral lists this unclassified non-coding RNA (336 nucleotides) under soil metagenome. Its description in RNAcentral is "partial contains 5.8S ribosomal RNA, internal transcribed spacer 2, and large subunit ribosomal RNA". The stretch from base 1 to 120 matches the Rfam family "5.8S ribosomal RNA", at positions 35 to 154 of the family's 154-position model. The record is from RNAcentral.
GAUGAAGAACGCAGCGAAAUGCGAUAAGUAAUGUGAAUUGCAGAAUUCAGUGAAUCAUCGAAUCUUUGAACGCACAUUGCACCCGCCAGUAUUCUGGCGGGCAUGCCUGUUCGAGCGUCAUUUCAACCAUCAAGCCCCAGGCUUGUGUUGGGGACCUGCGGCUGCCGCAGGCCCUGAAAACCAGUGGCGGGCUCGCUGUCACACCGGGCGUAGUAGAUUUUAUCUCGCUCAGGGCGUGCUGCGGGUCCCGGCCGUUAAAAGCCUUUUUUUACCCAAGGUUGACCUCGGAUCAGGUAGGAAGACCCGCUGAACUUAAGCAUAUCAAUAAGCGGAGGA